GUGUCAGCAGCCGCGGUAAGACAGAGGUGGCGAGCGUUGUUCGGAUUUACUGGGCGUAAAGCGCGGGUAGGCGGUUCGGCCAGUCAGAUGUGAAAUCCCACCGCUUAACGGUGGAACGGCGUCUGAUACUACCGGACUCGAGUGCAGGAGAGGAGAGUGGAAUUUCCGGUGUAGCGGUGAAAUGCGUAGAUAUCGGAAGGAACACCAGUGGCGAAGGCGGCUCUCUGGACUGCAACUGACGCUGAGACGCGAAAGCGUGGGGAGCAAACAGGAUUAGAAACCCCCGUAGUCC
This 292-nucleotide ribosomal RNA is filed under the name uncultured bacterium. Its description in RNAcentral is "partial 16S ribosomal RNA". It matches the Rfam family "Bacterial small subunit ribosomal RNA", at positions 505 to 796 of the family's 1533-position model. The record is from RNAcentral.